Small nucleolar RNA from Nematolebias whitei (Rio pearlfish), 123 nucleotides. RefSeq annotates it as small nucleolar RNA SNORA47. The record is from RefSeq and is a predicted model, not a curated record. The transcript has a single exon. NCBI's taxonomy places the organism in Eukaryota, Metazoa, Chordata, Actinopteri, Cyprinodontiformes, Rivulidae.
UGGAGGACUGAGAAUGUUGAUCAGCUGAUCUCAUGCUGCUCCAACAGGUUACUCCUCCAAGAGUAAUUAACAAACCACACAGUCAAGUCUCUCUGACAUGUGCAGAGCUGAUGGGUGUGUUUG